RNAcentral lists this ribosomal RNA (429 nucleotides) under Acidobacteriota bacterium. RNAcentral's name for it is "Acidobacteria bacterium partial 16S ribosomal RNA". It matches the Rfam family "Bacterial small subunit ribosomal RNA", at positions 355 to 776 of the family's 1533-position model. Lineage: Bacteria; Pseudomonadati; Acidobacteriota. The record is from RNAcentral.
UGGCGAAUUUUGGACAAUGGGGGAAACCCUGAUCCAGCCAUCCCGCGUGUGCGAUGAAGGCCUUCGGGUUGUAAAGCACUUUUGGCAGGAAAGAAACGUCAUGGGUUAAUACCCCGUGAAACUGACGGUACCUGCAGAAUAAGCACCGGCUAACUACGUGCCAGCAGCCGCGGUAAUACGUAGGGUGCAAGCGUUAAUCGGAAUUACUGGGCGUAAAGCGUGCGCAGGCGGUUCGGAAAGAAAGAUGUGAAAUCCCAGAGCUCAACUUUGGAACUGCAUUCUUAACUACCGGUCUAGAGUGUGUCAGAGGGAGGUGGAAUUCCGCGUGUAGCAGUGAAAUGCGUAGGUAUGCGGAGGAACACCGAUGGCGAAGGCAGCCUCCUGGGAUAACACUGACGCUCAUGCACGAAAGCGUGGGGAGCAAACAGG